UACGGGGGAGCAAGCGUUGUUCGGAUUUACUGGGCGUAAAGGGCGCGUAGGCGGCCACUGCAAGUCAGUUGUGAAAUCUCCGGGCUUAACCCGGAAAGGUCAACUGAUACUGCAGGGCUAGAGUGCAGAAGGGGCAACUGGAAUUCUCGGUGUAGCGGUGAAAUGCGUAGAUAUCGAGAGGAACACCUGCGGCGAAGGCGGGUUGCUGGGCUGACACUGACGCUGAGGCGCGAAAGCCAGGGAGCGAACGGG
RNAcentral lists this ribosomal RNA (252 nucleotides) under uncultured bacterium. RNAcentral's name for it is "partial 16S ribosomal RNA". It matches the Rfam family "Bacterial small subunit ribosomal RNA", at positions 524 to 776 of the family's 1533-position model. The record is from RNAcentral.